Molecule: ribosomal RNA, 913 nt
Filed under: Metabacillus indicus
Lineage: Bacteria; Bacillati; Bacillota; Bacilli; Caryophanales; Bacillaceae
Description: bacterial SSU rRNA
Rfam family: Bacterial small subunit ribosomal RNA
Source: RNAcentral
CCAGCGGACCUCUUCGGAGGUCAGCGGCGGACGGGUGAGUAACACGUGGGCAACCUGCCUGUAAGACUGGGAUAACUCCGGGAAACCGGAGCUAAUACCGGAUAUUAUGUCAGACCGCAUGGUCUGACAUUCAAAGACGGUUUCGGCUGUCACUUACAGAUGGGCCCGCGGCGCAUUAGCUAGUUGGUGAGGUAACGGCUCACCAAGGCAACGAUGCGUAGCCGACCUGAGAGGGUGAUCGGCCACACUGGGACUGAGACACGGCCCAGACUCCUACGGGAGGCAGCAGUAGGGAAUCUUCCGCAAUGGACGAAAGUCUGACGGAGCAACGCCGCGUGAGUGAUGAAGGUUUUCGGAUCGUAAAACUCUGUUGUCAGGGAAGAACAAGUGCCGGAGUAACUGCCGGCGCCUUGACGGUACCUGACCAGAAAGCCACGGCUAACUACGUGCCAGCAGCCGCGGUAAUACGUAGGUGGCAAGCGUUGUCCGGAAUUAUUGGGCGUAAAGCGCGCGCAGGCGGUUUCUUAAGUCUGAUGUGAAAGCCCCCGGCUCAACCGGGGAGGGUCAUUGGAAACUGGGAAACUUGAGUGCAGAAGAGGAGAGUGGAAUUCCACGUGUAGCGGUGAAAUGCGUAGAGAUGUGGAGGAACACCAGUGGCGAAGGCGACUCUCUGGUCUGUAACUGACGCUGAGGCGCGAAAGCGUGGGGAGCGAACAGGAUUAGAUACCCUGGUAGUCCACGCCGUAAACGAUGAGUGCUAAGUGUUAUAGGGUUUCCGCCCUUUAAUGCUGCAGCUAACGUAUUAAGCACUCCUCCUGGGGUGUACGGUCGCCUGACUGAGACUCAUAGGAGUGACGGGGCCAGCACAAUCAGUGGAGCUGUAUGUUUAUCAAAAAAAUCCAAAGAAAAAUAC